This 763-nucleotide ribosomal RNA is filed under the name Prevotella melaninogenica. Its description in RNAcentral is "bacterial SSU rRNA". It matches the Rfam family "Bacterial small subunit ribosomal RNA", at positions 28 to 776 of the family's 1533-position model. Lineage: Bacteria; Pseudomonadati; Bacteroidota; Bacteroidia; Bacteroidales; Prevotellaceae. The record is from RNAcentral.
GAUGAACGCUAGCUACAGGCUUAACACAUGCAAGUCGAGGGGAAACGGCAUUGAGUGCUUGCACUCUUUGGACGUCGACCGGCGCACGGGUGAGUAACGCGCAUCCAACCUUCCCAUUACUGUGGGAUAACCUGCCGAAAGGCAGACUAAUACCGCAUAGUCUUCGAUGACGGCAUCAGAUUUGAAGUAAAGAUUUAUCGGUAAUGGAUGGGGAUGCGUCUGAUUAGCUUGUUGGCGGGGUAACGGCCCACCAAGGCUACGAUCAGUAGGGGUUCUGAGAGGAAGGUCCCCCACAUUGGAACUGAGACACGGUCCAAACUCCUACGGGAGGCAGCAGUGAGGAAUAUUGGUCAAUGGACGGAAGUCUGAACCAGCCAAGUAGCGUGCAGGAUGACGGCCCUAUGGGUUGUAAACUGCUUUUGUAUGGGGAUAAAGUUAGGGACGUGUCCCUAUUUGCAGGUACCAUACGAAUAAGGACCGGCUAAUUCCGUGCCAGCAGCCGCGGUAAUACGGAAGGUCCAGGCGUUAUCCGGAUUUAUUGGGUUUAAAGGGAGCGUAGGCUGGAGAUUAAGUGUGUUGUGAAAUGUAGACGCUCAACGUCUGAAUUGCAGCGCAUACUGGUUUCCUUGAGUACGCACAACGUUGGCGGAAUUCGUCGUGUAGCGGUGAAAUGCUUAGAUAUGACGAAGAAAACCGAUUGCGAAAGGCAGCUGACGGGAGCGCAACUGACGCUUAAGCUCGAAAGGUGCGGGUAUCAAACAGG